GUUACUCAGUUCAGAUUGCAGGCUGCAACCCGCCUGCAUGAAGUCGGAAUUGCUAGUAAUCGCGGAUCAGCAUGCCGCGGUGAAUACGUUCCCGGGCCUUGUACACACCGCCCGUCACACCAUGAGAGUCGGGAACACCCGAAGUCCGUAGUCUAACCGCAAGGGGGACGCGGCCGAAGGUGGGUUCGAUAAUUGGGGUGAAGUCGUAACAAGGUAUC
RNAcentral lists this ribosomal RNA (218 nucleotides) under uncultured bacterium. RNAcentral describes it as "partial 16S ribosomal RNA". It matches the Rfam family "Bacterial small subunit ribosomal RNA", at positions 1283 to 1500 of the family's 1533-position model. The record is from RNAcentral.